CCUACGGGGGGCAGCAGUGGGGAAUAUUGGGCAAUGGGCGCAAGCCUGACCCAGCAACGCCGCGUGAAGGAAGAAGGCUUUCGGGUUGUAAACUUCUUUUCUGAGGGACGAAGAAAGUGACGGUACCUCAGGAAUAAGCCACGGCUAACUACGUGCCAGCAGCCGCGGUAAUACGUAGGUGGCAAGCGUUAUCCGGAUUUAUUGGGUGUAAAGGGAGUGUAGGCGGGAAAGCAAGUCAGAUGUGAAAACUCAGGGCUCAACCCUGAGCCUGCAUUUGAAACUGUUUUUCUUGAGUGCUGGAGAGGCAAUCGGAAUUCCUAGUGUAGCGGUGAAAUGCGUAGAUAUUAGGAGGAACACCAGUGGCGAAGGCGUCUUACUGGACCGAAACUGACGUUGAGGCUCGAAAGCGUGGGGAGCAAACAGGAUUAGAUACCCCGGUAGUC
Molecule: ribosomal RNA, 443 nt
Filed under: uncultured bacterium
Lineage: Bacteria
Description: partial 16S ribosomal RNA
Rfam family: Bacterial small subunit ribosomal RNA
Source: RNAcentral